RNAcentral lists this ribosomal RNA (434 nucleotides) under uncultured bacterium. RNAcentral describes it as "partial 16S ribosomal RNA". It matches the Rfam family "Bacterial small subunit ribosomal RNA", at positions 29 to 507 of the family's 1533-position model. The record is from RNAcentral.
AGCGAACGCUGGCGGCAGGCCUAACACAUGCAAGUCGAACGAACCUUUCGGGGUUAGUGGCGGACGGGUGAGUAACACGUGGGAACGUGCCCUUAGGUUCGGAAUAACUCAGGGAAAGUUGUGCUAAUACCGAAUGGGCCCUUCGGGGGAAAGAUUUAUCGCCUUUAGAGCGGCCCGCGUCUGAUUAGCUAGUUGGUUGAGGUAAUGGCUCACCAAGGCGACGAUCAGUAGCUGGUCUGAGAGGAUGAUCAGCCACAUUGGGACUGAGACACGGCCCAAACUCCUACGGGAGGCAGCAGUGGGGAAUAUUGCGCAAUGGGCGAAAGCCUGACGCAGCCAUGCCGCGUGAAUGAUGAAGGUCUUAGGAUUGUAAAAUUCUUUCACCGGGGACGAUAAUGACGGUACCCGGAGAAGAAGCCCCGGCUAACUUCGUG